This 459-nucleotide ribosomal RNA is filed under the name uncultured bacterium. Its description in RNAcentral is "partial 16S ribosomal RNA". It matches the Rfam family "Bacterial small subunit ribosomal RNA", at positions 338 to 795 of the family's 1533-position model. The record is from RNAcentral.
CCUACGGGAGGCAGCAGUGAGGAAUAUUGGUCAAUGGCCGGAAGGCUGAACCAGCCAAGCCGCGUGAAGGACGAAGGUGCCAAGCAUUGUAAACUUCUUUUGUCAAGGGACAAAAUCAGGCUCGAGAGCCUGACCGAGGGUACUUGAAGAAAAAGCAUCGGCUAACUCCGUGCCAGCAGCCGCGGUAAUACGGAGGAUGCGAGCGUUAUCCGGAUUUCUUGGGUUUAAAGGGUGCGUAGGCGGACUGUUAAGUCAGCGGUAAAAGCCCGGGGCUCAACCCCGGCGAGCCGUUGAAACUGGCUGUCUUGAGAUGUCGAGAGGUAUGCGGAAUGCGCAGUGUAGCGGUGAAAUGCUUAGAUAUUGCGCAGAACUCCGAUUCCGAAGGCAGCAUACCGGCGGCGAUCUGACGCUGAGGCUCGAAGGUGCGGGUAUCAAACAGGAUUAGAUACCCGGGUAGUC